CAGAGUCCAUGUAACGUUAGAUGAGGAUCUUCGUGACCGUGGGUUUGUCCUAAAUGUUUUAUUGAGAGUCUGGCACAACACAGCGACUUGCAAGCAGCGUAUUAAAUAAAGUGACGUGUGUCUUAAUGCGGCUUUGCAAAUGAACACAAAGGGAUUCUGUAUUUGCUCAUGAAGCCUGAACAUACGGGUUAUUUGGCCAAUGUUUUGAUAACCGACCGCUGCCAGUUCAGUGUUUCCCAUCAUUAUAAACAGGGGCGCGCCCCCCAUGACGUAGUGAACCUGGGGGAGACACUGCAGUCUACCUAAUCGAUGCGAACAACGUGUGUGUGACUCGUGUCACCGGUAAAUGUGUUGUGGUUUUAUCUGUAUAAGUUAGAUACACGUGUUGUUUUUGUGUCGUGUCUCUGAAUGUCGCCAUGUUUCCAUCAUCCCAACGGCAGGUCACGUGAUCUGCAGGCGCCUUCUGAUCACAUUGUAACGGACUGACGUGUUGUGUGAGCGAGGUUACGCAUUAAGAGUUUGUCCUUAAUGGAAUUUCUUACAUUACUUUUAUACUUUAAGUAGUUUUGAAACCAGUACUUUUAUACGUUUACUUAAGUAAAAAUCUUGAGUUGGUAAUUCUACAAACUUCUACAGGAGUCUUUUUAAACCCUAGUAUAUGUACUUCUAUUGAGUAAUGAAUGUGAAUACUUUUGACACCUCUGGUCAUUUCUUCUUCUUAUUCCCCUCAUUAAAGCUGGCUCACCACUGUAAUUACUCACACAUGAAGAGUAAUAACAGUGAUUAGGAAGGUGGGACCAAUUUACUCAAAUUAGUAAUCCAAUAUGUGCUGCUUCAUAAUUCUGCUCUGCUGUGUUUUGGAAGGAAAAUUCAUCCUUUUUCAUUCAUUUAUCAUCUUACAAGUUGUCGUCGAAGGAUCUUAUCAGUUUUUAAGUUCACCUGUAUCCUCUAACAAAAGGCCUCUACCGUAACCAGCCAACACAUAGCAUAUAGCUACAGAAUUUCUUUUUGUGCAUAAUACGUUAUUUAUCUUUUUUUUUGUCCAACUAACAGUCACAAACAAAGAGAAUUACCAUUUACACAAAUAUAGAAACAGAAGUAGAAAAUUGUCAUGUUUGAAGAAAUGUUAAAAAAGCACAAUCUUGGGGUAUUUUUCCUCUUCAAAAUGGAUGAAGACACUGGAACAUGCGUGAUGAUCACGAGCGUCUGACAUGCAACACAUUGCCUAAACAAGACACACCAUUUUUGAAAUACCGUGUAUUCUGGAUAUUAUUACAUUCCACACAAACAACAAUGCAGUCACCCAGUUGAGCCUGUGCUCAUGUUCCCCGUGUGACUCUCAGCGCUGCGUUCCUCCUUCCUGUCGGCAGAUGUCUCUGGUGUAUCUCGGGUUACCAGCUGCUGGAGGCGGUGCGAUGGGGACGGGAUGACGAUGUCAAAGCCCUGAUGGCCAACGGGGCUCCGUUCACUACGGACUGGCGCGUUAAUUAUGGAAUAAUCAUUGGGCUAAUCCAUGACGACACGAGUGUGAACCACUGCAGGGAAACAGAAACCGUCGGCUCUUAAUGACGGUUUGACAGUAAUGCUGAGGCGUCGCAUUGAGUUCAAAAGACAGCAAAAAAGGAAAAGAAACAUCAACUGGGCUCGUCGCCCAGCAGGGCCACCACUCCCAUCAGCGUCCAAAGUGGACAAGACCCCUCUUCACAUGGCCGCCUC
Gasterosteus aculeatus aculeatus (three-spined stickleback) is the source of this 1716-nucleotide long non-coding RNA. NCBI's taxonomy places the organism in Eukaryota, Metazoa, Chordata, Actinopteri, Perciformes, Gasterosteidae. The record is from Ensembl.